CACGUGUGUUUGACGCGCAUGCGCGUGCUGGCGUUCGUUUAGUCAGUGAAGUCUGUAAAGACGGGCAGAGAUUCACUUCCUUUCAGGAGUACUUAUACAAUUUGGAAACACUCUUUCUAAUAUUUACAAACAAGGAUAUAAACGCUUAAUAGCUCCAUCUGAUAGGAGAAGGAAGAAACGUCAGGAUCCAACAAGAUCUUCUGCUCCACAAACACACUCAGGCCCCAGUUCUCCAUGGCUGCAUACGGAUGCUUUGGCACUGCCAGGAGAUCUGCACACAGUGAGGAAGAUCCAAGCUCAUUGACGGAAAACCAGGAUUGUGAUACAGUGCAACAAGAACGUUCAUACGGCAGAUGCUUCAGAUGGUCGAUAGUAUUGGCAGACGCUGUAAUUUGUUCACACGGGUCAGGUCCUUCACGGCUCAGUGCUGAAUGUGCUUCUCCAUGGUCUAAAACAUGAACGCGUUCAUUUGGACGCAGACACACAGUCAGCAGAGGAUCUACAGUACAAUGAGAGUGAAGUAAAUACUGAUCAGCUGCCAUCUUCAUCAGUUACAUGUUCUGCUCCCAGAUCAGCUAGCAGGAGAUUUUUUGCUCGCUUUGGCUGGACGGGCUUGAGAUGGAAAUGGGAAUCUAGGGGUUGUUUGACAGAGGGACUCUCACAGUGUUCAAAGCUUGAAUUGUGUAUCUGUAUAUGGAAGAGAAUCCUGGAUGAUGGCUGAAUUGAAUCUGAUUUGUAUGGCUCCCUCUCAUUUGCUGUUUCUCUCUGAACACUUUGGAAACCCUGAUUUCUCUUUGAUCUGGGCAGAUCUCAACUAAUUGACCAGGAUGUGCGCAGGAUUUGAUGCAGCUGCUCUCCCACUGUGCUUGUGUGCUGUUUUAUUUAUUUAUUUAUUUAUUUUUAUUAUUUAUUUGCAGUCUUUAUACUCCAUUCAAAUGAAUUCACUUACUAUAUUUAUACUUUAUUUCAGAUUGUAACCAACAGUUAUGUCACUUUAAUAGUUGCAUACUGAAUUCUGAAUUUUUUUUUUUUUUUUUGCAUAUAUUUACUCAUUUAAAGCCAGAUUUACUGUGUACUUGCUAUGUUGAUUCUUGUGUUCAGCUAAAUAAACACAAAACUAGCAC
This is a long non-coding RNA of Cyprinus carpio (common carp), 1124 nucleotides long. RefSeq lists it as uncharacterized. The record is from RefSeq and is a predicted model, not a curated record. NCBI's taxonomy places the organism in Eukaryota, Metazoa, Chordata, Actinopteri, Cypriniformes, Cyprinidae. The transcript is spliced from 4 exons.